CCUACGGGCGGCAGCAGUGAGGAAUAUUGGUCAAUGGACGAGAGUCUGAACCAGCCAAGUAGCGUGAAGGAUGACUGCCCUAUGGGUUGUAAACUUCUUUUAUAUGGGAAUAAAAUGUUCCACGUGUGGGAUUUUGUAUGUACCAUAUGAAUAAGGCUCGGCUAACUCCGUGCCAGCAGCCGCGGUAAUACGGAGGAUCCGAGCGUUAUCCGGAUUUAUUGGGUUUAAAGGGAGCGUAGGUGGAUUGUUAAGUCAGUUGUGAAAGUUUGCGGCUCAACCGUAAAAUUGCAGUUGAAACUGGCAGUCUUGAGUACAGUAGAGGUGGGCGGAAUUCGUGGUGUAGCGGUGAAAUGCUUAGAUAGCACGAAGAACUCCGAUUGCGAAGGCAGUUCACUGGACUGCAACUGACACUGAGGCUCGAAAGUGUGGGUAUCAAACAGGAUUAGAUACCCUUGUAGUC
Molecule: ribosomal RNA, 460 nt
Filed under: uncultured bacterium
Lineage: Bacteria
Description: partial 16S ribosomal RNA
Rfam family: Bacterial small subunit ribosomal RNA
Source: RNAcentral